UGGUGGGUAGUUUGACUGGGGCGGUCUCCUCCUAAAGAGUAACGGAGGAGCACGAAGGUUGGCUAAUCCUGGUCGGACAUCAGGAGGUUAGUGCAAUGGCAUAAGCCAGCUUGACUGCGAGCGUGACGGCGCGAGCAGGUGCGAAAGCAGGUCAUAGUGAUCCGGUGGUUCUGAAUGGAAGGGCCAUCGCUCAACGGAUAAAAGGUACUCCGGGGAUAACAGGCUGAUACCGCCCAAGAGUUCAUAUCGACGGCGGUGUUUGGCACCUCGAUGUCGGCUCAUCACAUCCUGGGGCUGAAGUAGGUCCCAAGGGUAUGGCUGUUCGCCAUUUAAAGUGGUACGCGAGCUGGGUUUAGAACGUCGUGAGACAGUUCGGUCCCUAUCUGCCGUGGGCGCUGGAGAACUGAGGGGGGCUGCUCCUAGUACGAGAGGACCGGAGUGGACGCAUCACUGGUGUUCGGGUUGUCAUGCCAAUGGCACUGCCCGGUAGC
RNAcentral lists this ribosomal RNA (491 nucleotides) under Escherichia coli. RNAcentral describes it as "partial 23S ribosomal RNA". It matches the Rfam family "Bacterial large subunit ribosomal RNA", at positions 2259 to 2749 of the family's 2925-position model. Lineage: Bacteria; Pseudomonadati; Pseudomonadota; Gammaproteobacteria; Enterobacterales; Enterobacteriaceae. The record is from RNAcentral. RNAcentral also lists the same sequence under 2 other names.